GCCGAAAUAGCUCAGUUGGUAGAGCGACGCUCUCGUAAAGCGUAGGUCGUGGGUUCGACUCCCAUUUUCGGCU
Molecule: transfer RNA, 73 nt
Filed under: Bacteroidota bacterium
Lineage: Bacteria; Pseudomonadati; Bacteroidota
Description: Bacteroidetes bacterium (aquifer metagenome) tRNA-Thr
Rfam family: tRNA
About the family: Transfer RNA (tRNA) molecules are approximately 80 nucleotides in length. Their secondary structure includes four short double-helical elements and three loops (D, anti-codon, and T loops).
Source: RNAcentral